RNAcentral lists this ribosomal RNA (125 nucleotides) under Bacteroides hominis. RNAcentral's name for it is "partial 23S ribosomal RNA". It matches the Rfam family "Bacterial large subunit ribosomal RNA", at positions 2786 to 2925 of the family's 2925-position model. Lineage: Bacteria; Pseudomonadati; Bacteroidota; Bacteroidia; Bacteroidales; Bacteroidaceae. The record is from RNAcentral.
UACGAAGCCAGCCACAAGAUUAGAUUUCUUUUAGGGUCGUUGUAGACUACAACGUUGAUAGGACGCAGGUGUACAGGUGGUAACAUCACAGCCGAGCGUUACUAAUUGCCCGAUGACUUUCUUUU